CUGGCUGCCAGUGGGUGCUGAGCACCUAUUUUUUCUCUGUUGGUUCUGCAGCCCCAUAGCUCCCAUGGAGUCACUGACUUGGCUUCCUUCGUACUCUAGAGAGAGGAACAGAACCAGGGCCAUGGCUGAUCUAUGGGGCACCAGGAUGUCUGGGAGAAGGAUUAAGCCU
This is a long non-coding RNA of Gopherus evgoodei (Goodes thornscrub tortoise), 169 nucleotides long. RefSeq lists it as uncharacterized. The record is from RefSeq and is a predicted model, not a curated record. The transcript has 4 exons. NCBI's taxonomy places the organism in Eukaryota, Metazoa, Chordata, Testudines, Testudinidae.